AGCCUGAACGCUGGCGGCGUGGCUAAGACAUGCAAGUCGCACGGUGUAGCAAUACACAGUGGCGAACGGGUGAGUAAUGAAUCGCUAAUGUACCCCGGACUCUGGGAUAGCUACCCGAAAGGGUAGGUAAUACCAGAUGAGACGACGAUCAGGCAUCUGAUUGUGCUCAAAGGUCCGCCGGUCUGGGAGCAGGCGAUUUCGUAUCAGCUAGUUGGUGAGGUAACGGCUCACCAAGGCGACGACGCGUAGCCGGACUGAGAGGUUGGCCGGCCACAUUGGGACUGAGACACUGCCCAGACUCCUACGGGGGGCUGCAGUAACGAAUCUUCCGCAAUGCACGAAAGUGUGACGGAGCGACGCCGCGUGUAGGACGAAGCCCUUCGGGGUGUAAACUACUGUCAGGGUUAGAAAGUUCUGAUCAACCCAGAGGAAGGCACGGCUAAACUCUGUGCCAGCAGCCGC
Molecule: ribosomal RNA, 462 nt
Filed under: uncultured soil bacterium
Lineage: Bacteria
Description: bacterial SSU rRNA
Rfam family: Bacterial small subunit ribosomal RNA
Source: RNAcentral